ACAAGGGAUGUCAUAAUGGUCUCCAUGAAUGAAAAACUAUUGUCUGAGUGAUAAUACCUUUUAGCAUCUAGGAAAUGCUGGAACAUCUCAAUAAUCAGAUCAUCACAUUCAAAAGCCAACAUCACCACAUGAAUGAACUCUCGCAAAAUCCUUUUACAAUAUAAUCAAUCAUACUUGUCUCCUAGAUAUUUGCAUGAUAAGACAAUCAGUUGAUUCAAAUUGGGAUCUGAUCCAAACAAAUCUCCGAUUUCAGGCUAAGUCCCGAAACUGGAGUUGCUUCACUGGACUCACCCUGAGGAUUUGCGAUAUAUUGCUGGUGGUGUUUUGGUUGUCUAGCGACCGGCGAUGGUUGGUCAGGGAAGAGACAGUGGCUGGCUUUGGUUGUCUUACUUCUCUAUCUUGCAGGUCUGUUUGCGAGGCUUUUCUUAACAAUAAACUAAGGCAGAAAUCAAAAGAAAUACUGAAAGGAAAUUUCGAAGAGACAAAGGAAGUAUGGGAUUCUUCAAGGCUCUAAUACCAAAUUGAUGUAAAACAAAG
RNAcentral lists this unclassified non-coding RNA (537 nucleotides) under Hevea brasiliensis (rubber tree). The record is from RNAcentral. Lineage: Eukaryota; Viridiplantae; Streptophyta; Magnoliopsida; Malpighiales; Euphorbiaceae.